RNAcentral lists this ribosomal RNA (253 nucleotides) under uncultured bacterium. RNAcentral describes it as "partial 16S ribosomal RNA". It matches the Rfam family "Bacterial small subunit ribosomal RNA", at positions 524 to 776 of the family's 1533-position model. The record is from RNAcentral.
UACGUAGGUGGCGAGCGUUGUCCGGAUUUACUGGGCGUAAAGGGCGUGCAGGCGGUUUGUUAAGUGCAGGGUGAAAGCUCCCGGCUCAACUGGGAGAGGUCCUUGCAUACUGGCGAACUCGAGGGAGGCAGAGGAAAGUGGAAUUCCCGGUGUAGUGGUGAUAUGCGUAGAUAUCGGGAGGAACACCUGUGGCGAAGGCAGCUCGCUGGGACGGUACUGACGCUGAGGAGCGAAAGCGUGGGGAUCAAACAGG